This 867-nucleotide ribosomal RNA is filed under the name uncultured bacterium. RNAcentral's name for it is "bacterial SSU rRNA". It matches the Rfam family "Bacterial small subunit ribosomal RNA", at positions 622 to 1502 of the family's 1533-position model. The record is from RNAcentral.
UGCAGUUGAAACUGUUCCCCUUGUGUUCAGUCGCGGUAUGCGGAAUUCGUGGUGUAGCGGUGAAAUGCAUAGAUAUCACGAAGAACCCCGAUUGCGAAAGCAGCAUGCCAGAGUGCAACAGACGUUGAAGCUCGAAAGUGUGGGUAUCAAACAGGAUUAGAUACCCUGGUAGUCCACACGGUAAACGAUGGAUACUCGCUGUUGGCGAUAUACGGCCAGCGGCUUAGCGAAAGCGUUAAGUAUCCCACCUGGGGAGUACGCCGGCAACGGUGAAACUCAAAGGAAUUGACGGGGGCCCGCACAAGCGGAGGAACAUGUGGUUUAAUUCGAUGAUACGCGAGGAACCUUACCCGGGCUUGAACUGCGGAUGCAUGGCGGGGAAACCUGCCAGUGAGCAAUCACAUCCGUGGAGGUGCUGCAUGGUUGUCGUCAGCUCGUGCCGUGAGGUGUCGGCUUAAGUGCCAUAACGAGCGCAACCCUUUUCCACUGUUGCCAUCAGCUAGGCUGGGGACUCGGUGGAUACUGCCAUCGUAAGAUGCGAGGAAGGAUGGGAUGACGUCAAAUCAGCACGGCCCUUACGUCCGGGGCCACACACGUGUUACAAUGGGGGGUACAGCAGGCCGCUACCCGGCGACGGGACGCCAAUCCUGAAAGCCCCUCUCAGUUCGGACUGGAGUCUGCAACCCGACUCCACGAAGCUGGAUUCGCUAGUAAUCGCGCAUCAGCCAUGGCGCGGUGANNNCGUUCCCGGGCCUUGUACACACCGCCCGUCAAGCCAUGAAAGCCGGGNNNNNCUGAAGUACGUAACCGCAAGGGUCGUCCUAGGGUAAGACCGGUGAUUGGGGAUAAGUCGUAACAAGGUAACCA